This 253-nucleotide ribosomal RNA is filed under the name uncultured microorganism. Its description in RNAcentral is "partial 16S ribosomal RNA". It matches the Rfam family "Bacterial small subunit ribosomal RNA", at positions 524 to 776 of the family's 1533-position model. The record is from RNAcentral.
UACGUAGGGUGCGAGCGUUGUCCGGAAUUACUGGGCGUAAAGAGCUCGUAGGCGGUAGUUCAAGUCAGGUGUGAAAUCCGACGGCUUAACCGGAGGACUGCACCUGAUACUGGGCUGCUAGAGGUAAGGAGAGGAAGGUGGAAUUCCCGGUGUAGCGGUGAAAUGCGUAGAGAUCAGGAGGAACACCGAUGGCGAAGGCAGCCCCCUGGGCCUGUACUGACGCUCAUGCACGAAAGCGUGGGGAGCAAACAGG